Long non-coding RNA from Mercurialis annua (annual mercury), 816 nucleotides. RefSeq lists it as uncharacterized. The transcript is spliced from 3 exons. NCBI's taxonomy places the organism in Eukaryota, Viridiplantae, Streptophyta, Magnoliopsida, Malpighiales, Euphorbiaceae. The record is from RefSeq and is a predicted model, not a curated record.
GAAUUUUGACGGGAAAGUGUUAAAAUCAAGCUUUGUAUUAUUUAUAGUAUAUAAAUAAUACGUAUAAGUUAUAAUAGAAGAGUUAAUCGAUUUAGUUAUGGACUAAAUUGUACGAAAGAAAAGUUAGAAAGAUAAAUUGUAACAAGGAAGGAAAGGAAGGACUAAAACAGACGUUUAGCCAUGUAUAUAUAAGAGAAAACCUUUGAAUGAAGGAUGUAUCAGAGGUAAGAAUCCAGAAGCUUGAAGUUUUCCACCGAUUACUUCGUUUCUUCACGGUUUCUUCGUUCGACGUCCGAAUCAAGCGGUUUUCGCGUCGAUUUCUUCGAAAUUGAAAGCUCUAUCAUCUCCAAGCUUCAAAUCAAGACGUACGACCGAGCGGUGAGGGCACUAGGGGUGUACUAGCACGAGCAUAUUACCACAUCGACCAUAUUUGUGAUUGGAUUGCGGUCACUGUGCUUAGUUUCUGGACUUAGCUAGAGGCCAAUUUUGAAGUCCAGAAGUCAGCUGUAUAUGUUAGUCUCUGACUUCUGUGAGUGCUGCAGUAGUGGUCCUUUGUCGAUAGUAUUGUAGCCUAGACAGCAGUUCAUUUUGAUUGUAUAUAUUAACUGCUGUUAUUGUUUUAUAUGCAUUUUGAUAGGCUACGUGUUUAGUAUAUGAUCCACGGCCCCAGGUGCCGGUGAGAUGUUUGGAACACUAACUGAUGUAUAUAGUACCGCGAGGCCAGUUCGUACAGGGUACGGUAACUAGAGCCCGCGAGGUUUUGAAACAGUUAGUGUAUAUAUUUGGGUAUAUGUUAUGUAUAUGUAUAUCUGCUUC